UAUUUUCUGGGAUAUUCGUAGGCUUCUGUUUUGAACCUACAUUCUAACUAAGGGAGUUCAAUAAGGGACAGUGGAUAUUAGGCCCAUAGUGAGUCCUAUACAGGCAGGGGAAAAUAGAAGCAUCCAUGAGAGCACCCACCUAUCGAGAGAUAGGUGUCAAAAUUGAAGUAGCGGUAUCUUGGAUAUUAA
Molecule: non-coding RNA, 189 nt
Filed under: Clostridiaceae bacterium
Lineage: Bacteria; Bacillati; Bacillota; Clostridia; Eubacteriales; Clostridiaceae
Description: 6S RNA
Rfam family: 6S / SsrS RNA
About the family: E. coli 6S RNA was the first non coding RNA to be sequenced, but its function was unknown until recently.
Source: RNAcentral